Molecule: ribosomal RNA, 1386 nt
Filed under: uncultured prokaryote
Description: partial 16S ribosomal RNA
Rfam family: Bacterial small subunit ribosomal RNA
Source: RNAcentral
GAGCGGUAACAGAUCUAGCUUGCUAGAUGCUGACGAGCGGCGGACGGGUGAGUAACGCGUAGGAAUUUGCCUGGUAGUGGGGGAUAGCCCAGAGAAAUUUGGAUUAAUACCGCAUACACUCUACGGAGAAAAGCAGGGGAUCUUGGGACCCUGCGCUAUUAGAUAAGCCUGCGUGGGAUUAGCUAGUUGGUGAGGUAAGGGCUCACCAAGGCGACGAUCUCUAGCUGGUCUGAGAGGAUGAUCAGCCACACUGGAACUGAGACACGGUCCAGACUCCUACGGGAGGCAGCAGUGGGGAAUAUUGCACAAUGGGCGCAAGCCUGAUGCAGCCAGGCCGCGUGUGUGAAGAAGGCGUUCGGGUUGUAAAGCACUUUCAGUUGGGAGGAAAAGUAGCAGUUUAAUACGCUGUUGCCCUUACGUUACCAACAGAAGAAGCACCGGCUAACUCCGUGCCAGCAGCCGCGGUAAUACGGAGGGUGCGAGCGUUAAUCGGAAUUACUGGGCGUAAAGCGCAUGCAGGUGGUUUGUUAAGUCAGAUGUGAAAGCCCGGGGCUCAACCUCGGAAUUGCAUUUGGAACUGGCAGACUAGAGUACUGUAGAGGGGGGUAGAAUUUCAGGUGUAGCGGUGAAAUGCGUAGAGAUCUGAAGGAAUACCGGUGGCGAAGGCGGCCCCCUGGACAGAUACUGACACUCAGAUGCGAAAGCGUGGGGAGCAAACAGGAUUAGAUACCCUGGUAGUCCACGCCGUAAACGAUGUCUACUUGGAGGUUGUGGCCUUGAGCCGUGGCUUUCGGAGCUAACGCGUUAAGUAGACCGCCUGGGGAGUACGGCCGCAAGGUUAAAACUCAAAUGAAUUGACGGGGGCCCGCACAAGCGGUGGAGCAUGUGGUUUAAUUCGAUGCAACGCGAAGAACCUUACCAUCCCUUGACAUCCACAGAAGCCAGUAGAGAUACAGGUGUGCCUUCGGGAACUGUGUGACAGGUGCUGCAUGGCUGUCGUCAGCUCGUGUUGUGAAAUGUUGGGUUAAGUCCCGCAACGAGCGCAACCCCUGUUAUCAGUUGCCAUCAGUUCGGCUGGGCACUCUGAUGAGACUGCCGGUGAUAAGCCGGAGGAAGGCGGGGACGACGUCAAGUCAUCAUGGCCCUUACGAGUAGGGCUACACACGUGCUACAAUGGCGCAUACAGAGGGCAGCCAACCAGCGAUGGUGAGCGAAUCCCAAAAAGUGCGUCGUAGUCCGGAUUGGAGUCUGCAACUCGACUCCAUGAAGUCGGAAUCGCUAGUAAUCGUAGAUCAGAAUGCUACGGUGAAUACGUUCCCGGGCCUUGUACACACCGCCCGUCACACCAUGGGAGUGGGCUGCACCAGAAGUAGAUAGCUUAACCUU